GUUUGGCCAAUUGAAUUUUGCAAUGCUUAGCACCUUAUUCACACCCAUGGAAAACUGAAAGUCGGCUAGCAGGUUAUCAUUAAUCGAUUUUGGUCUCUUAAAUGUUAGAUUGGAACCGUACUGCAAUUUGUGGUAUUUUUGAGGAUGCAGAAAACCUUCCAGCAGUUAAAGGCUGCACUGCACAGAACACCUUAUCUUUCCCCACUCCAUUGCAUGGCAACUCUGGACAUGCAUUUUUGUAUCAACUUAAGAUUAUUUGUUGACCCCGUGUAGCUCAAAA
RNAcentral lists this unclassified non-coding RNA (280 nucleotides) under Hevea brasiliensis (rubber tree). The record is from RNAcentral. Lineage: Eukaryota; Viridiplantae; Streptophyta; Magnoliopsida; Malpighiales; Euphorbiaceae.